CAUACACACAACAACAUCCAGCUUCUAUAUCACAUCAUUCCAUUUCUUCACUCAGUUCAUGAAUUUUCCUGAACUGAGGAAUGUACUCAAUGUACUCAACAGAAUUUCUAUUUUGUUAAAGGAUUUAUUGUUAAUGGUUUCUUUUACUAGUCUUAGAACUAAUAUAUUUAAACAUAUUUGUUGAAUCUGAUAUUUUUAGUACACAAAUUCUUUUUAGACGUUUUUGGAUUCAAUAGUUUUUUCCAUGUUUUGACUGCUAUAUUAACUUGCUAUCACUAGAUGGCAGCAGUGCUCAAAUUAAUCAGCAGUCUACCUGUUGAACCCAGUAGAAGAAGUAGCCUACACAGAGAGUACACAGCUGCCAGAGAAGAGCUGGAGAAGUUUGUCAUGUGGCCCAGAGUAAGAAGUCUCUCUGAAAUCAACACAUCCUGCAGCUUGUUCUUCAGCUCACUGCUGAUGCAGAGACUGUCCACUGAAGGAAGGAAGACACAGUCAAAGGUUACCUGAGGCAGGCAUCACCAGCACCGGGGGGCUCCAGGGUCCACAGCCAACCGCGGUGCAGGCUGCCACCUGGAUGGAGGCG
This is a long non-coding RNA of Xiphophorus maculatus (southern platyfish), 583 nucleotides long. RefSeq lists it as uncharacterized. Lineage: Eukaryota; Metazoa; Chordata; Actinopteri; Cyprinodontiformes; Poeciliidae. The transcript has 3 exons. The record is from RefSeq and is a predicted model, not a curated record.